GACGAACGCUGGCGGCGUGCUUAACACAUGCAAGUCGAACGGAAAGGCCCUGCGUUUGUGGGGUGCUCGAGUGGCGAACGGGUGAGUAACACGUGAGUAACCUGCCCUUGACUUUGGGAUAACUUCAGGAAACGGGGGCUAAUACCGGAUAGGAGCUCCUGCUGCAGGGUGGGGGUUGGAAAGUUUCGGCGGUUGGGGAUGGACUCGCGGCUUAUCAGCUUGUUGGUGGGGUAGUGGCUGACCAAGGCUUUGACGGGUAGCCGGCCUGAGAGGGUGACCGGCCACAUUGGGCCUGCGAUACGGCCCAGACUCCUACGUUAGGCAGCAGUGGGGAAUGUUGCACAAUGGGCGGAAGCCUGAUGCAGCAACGCCGCGUGCGGGAUGCCGUCCUUCGGGUUGUAAACCGCUUUCGCCUGUGACGAAGCGUGAGUGACGGUAAUGGGUAAAGAAGCACCGGCUAACUACGUG
RNAcentral lists this ribosomal RNA (468 nucleotides) under uncultured bacterium. RNAcentral's name for it is "partial 16S ribosomal RNA". It matches the Rfam family "Bacterial small subunit ribosomal RNA", at positions 28 to 507 of the family's 1533-position model. The record is from RNAcentral.